AUAUUGGACAAUGGGGGCAACCCUGAUCCAGCCAUCCCGCGUGUACGAUGAAGGCCUUCGGGUUGUAUAGCACUUUUGGCAGGGCAAAAAAGUCUCUGGCUAAUACCUGGAGCUGCUGACGGUACCUGCAGAAUAAGCACAGGCUAACUCCGUGCCAGCAGCCGGGGUAACACGUAGGGUGCAAGCGUUAAUCGGAAUUACUGGGCGUAAAACGUGCGCAGGCGGUUCGGCAAGAAGGAUGUGAAAUCCCAGGGCUUAACCUUGGAACUGCAUUCUUAACUGCCGGGCUAGAGUAUGUCAGAGGGGGGUAGAAUUCCGCGUGUAGCAGUGAAAUGCGUAGAGAUGCGGAGGAAUACCGAUGGCGAAGGCAGCCCCCUGGGAUAAUACUGACGCUCAUGCACGAAAGCGUGGGGAGCAAAC
This 420-nucleotide ribosomal RNA is filed under the name uncultured bacterium. RNAcentral describes it as "partial 16S ribosomal RNA". It matches the Rfam family "Bacterial small subunit ribosomal RNA", at positions 361 to 773 of the family's 1533-position model. The record is from RNAcentral.